Molecule: ribosomal RNA, 835 nt
Filed under: Phytophthora sp. AL-2010b
Lineage: Eukaryota; Oomycota; Peronosporomycetes; Peronosporales; Peronosporaceae
Description: eukaryotic LSU rRNA
Rfam family: 5.8S ribosomal RNA (bases 240-394)
Source: RNAcentral
CCACACCUAAAAAACUGUCCACGUGAACCGUAUCAACCCAAGUAGUUGGGGGCGUUACUGUUCUGCGCAGGCUGUCGAUGUGAAAGUCGGCGGCUGGUGCGGGGCGGUGAUGCCCUAUCAUGGCGAAGGUGUUGUGUCCCUCUCGGGGGACGUGAUGUCGGCUGCCCUCUGUUUUAAACCCAUUCCUAAUAACUGAUUAAUACUGUGGGGACGAAAGUCUCUGCUUUUAACUAGAUAGCAACUUUCAGCAGUGGAUGUCUAGGCUCGCACAUCGAUGAAGAACGCUGCGAACUGCGAUACGUAAUGCGAAUUGCAGGAUUCAGUGAGUCAUCGAAAUUUUGAACGCAUAUUGCACUUCCGGGUUAGUCCUGGGAGUAUGCCUGUAUCAGUGUCCGUACAUCAAACUUGGCUCUCUUCCUUCCGUGUAGUCGGUGGAUGGAGACGCCAGACGUGAGGUGUCUUACGUGUGGUCUUUGUGGCUGCGUGUGAGUCCUUUGAAAUGUACUGAACUGUACUUCUCUUUGCUCGAAAAGCGCGACGUUACUGGUUGUGGAGGCUGCCUGUGUGGCCAGUCGGCGACCGGUCUGUCUGCUGUGGCAUUUAAAGGAGGAGUGUUCGAUUCGCGGUAUGGUUGGCUUCGGCUAAACAAAACGCUUAUUGGAUGCUUUUUCUGCUAUGGCGGUACGGAUCUGGUGAACCGUAGCUAUUCUAGGCUUGGCGUUUGAACCGGUUUUGUUGUUUUGCGAAGUAGAGCGGCGGCUUCGGCUGUCGAGGGUCGAUCCAUUUUGGAACUUGUGUCUGGUUGGCGCCUUCGGGUGCUACCGUGGCAUCUCAA